Helianthus annuus (common sunflower) is the source of this 1069-nucleotide long non-coding RNA. RefSeq lists it as uncharacterized. Lineage: Eukaryota; Viridiplantae; Streptophyta; Magnoliopsida; Asterales; Asteraceae. The transcript has 5 exons. The record is from RefSeq and is a predicted model, not a curated record.
GUUUCGUUCGUUCAUGUUGGUAUUUUUUAAGGAAAAUUAACUUAGGAUGUUUAUACUUCAAUUCAAAAUUUGAAUUCUGAAUUAAAAUAUUUGUUGCACAUUUUGUGGUCGAUCAAAUUAAUAUGUUUUGACUUCAAAUCUUCCGCUCAUCUAUGUUGAUCGCAAUAUUUUUCUAACCCUCAUCCAUAAUACUUUUGAAUUCUACUCUACAUCUUCCAGGUUACUGUUGUCUUAAGUAAAACAAAGUUCAGUUUUGUAUCUGGUUAUCAUUCUUAGUAUUUGUUUUGCAAUUUUCAUGUUCAUUUGUUUACAAAUGAUGAUAAAUUUAUUUAAGUUUUUUUAAACUCUACUUUUGAUUUCUUUAAACUUUUUAAUUGAUUCUAUGUUCAGUAGAAGGAUUUUACGUUGAUGUCCAAGUCAAAAUCGAGUAGCCACGAAGGUACGUUGAUUUCUGAUUCUUUCAUCGUUUGAUAUUGGUGUGUUCUCCAAGCUUAUCCAGAAUGGAUUGUUAUUCCUUUUUUGCUAUGUCCAAAUUUCUGUUGAUAAAUAUCCAAACUAGAUUGUUACUCCUUUUUUGCUACGUUCAAAGCAAUCCAGGAACAUGGUCAAGGAUAGGCACUUGACACCUUUGCACAGAUCUAAGAACGUCAUGAUGCAGUAAAAUAAGUAGAAAGGAAGCUACCUGAGUUGCAAUAAGGUUAUAUAAUUUAUUAAAUGAAACAAAGGCUUAAGCUCAAAUAUCGGUGUCUUCUAGGGAUGAAAUGAGUAAGUUAUAUGAUAACAUAAACGCCAACAUUUGACAAGAGAUUUUGUCUAUUGAAGGUGUAUGUUUUAAGAUCAAUCAAUGAUGAGGCAAACGAUAAAGUAUUGGAAGUCGAGCAUAUAUAUAACAAGGUUCGGAAGCCUUUGUACGAUUAUCACAGUGACAUCAUUUAGUCAUUACUGACUUUUGGUUAAGUGUUGUAAGUCAUCAUAAUUUUCUACUUCAUGUUUUUAUUUUAUUCAACAUUUUUUAUUAAUAUGAAUCCUAUAAUUUUGAUUAGAUAGUAGGACAUAAUCACUUUUAACU